This 1206-nucleotide ribosomal RNA is filed under the name uncultured prokaryote. RNAcentral's name for it is "partial 16S ribosomal RNA". It matches the Rfam family "Bacterial small subunit ribosomal RNA", at positions 161 to 1387 of the family's 1533-position model. The record is from RNAcentral.
CGGUAAUACCCGAUAAUCCCUCUUGGGCAAAGGCUUGCUGCCCCGGGAUCGGGCAAGGCGCUAUCAGCUUGUUGGUGAGGUAACGGCUCACCAAGCCUUAGACGGGUAGCGGGUGUGAGAGCAUGAUCCGCCGCAUCGGGACUGAGACACUGCCCGGACUCCUACGGGAGGCUGCAGCGACGAAUCUUCCGCAAUGCGCGAAAGCGUGACGGAGCAAUGCCGCGUGUGGGAUGAAGCAUCUCUGAGUGUAAACCACUGUCAGGGUUUAGGAAUAAUGACCAGACCCAAAGGAAGGGCCGGCUAACUUCGUGCCAGCAGCCGCGGUAAUACGAAGGGCCCAAGCGUUGAUCGGAAUUACUGGGCUUAAAGCGUACGCAGGCGGACCAGAAAGUACCUUGUGAAAUCCCUCGGCUCAACCGAGGAACUGCUUGGUAUACUGCAGAUCUUGAGAUCGGUAGGGGCCAUCGGAACGAUAGGUGGAGCGGUGAAAUGCGUAGAUAUCUAUUGGAACGCCAAUGGCGAAGGCAGAAAGCUGGGCCGAUUCUGACGCUGAGGCACGAAAGCGAGGGGAGCAAACGGGAUUAGAUACCCCGGUAGUCCACGCCCUAAACGAUGUGCACUAGGUCCGGGAGGUUUUGACGCCAUCCGGGCCGGAGCAAAAGUGAUAAGUGCACCGCCUGGGGAGUACGGUCGCAAGGCUAAAACUCAAAGGAAUUGACGGGGGCUCACACAAGCGGUGGAGCAUGUGGCUUAAUUCGAAGCAACGCGAAGAACCUUAUCCAGGGUUUGACAUGUAUGGAUUAGUCUGCCGAAAGGUGGGUAAGUUGCCCUCGUGGUGGAACGUACACAGGUGCUGCAUGGCUGUCGUCAGCUCGUGCUGUGAAGUGUCGGGUUAAGUCCCUUAACGAGCGCAACCCCUGUCGUUAGUUGCUAACAAGUAAUGUUGUGGCGGGGACUCUAACGAGACUGCCGGUGUUAAACCGGAGGAAGGUGGGGACGACGUCAAGUCCUCAUGGCCUUUAUGCCCAGGGCUGCACACGUGCUACAAUGGCGUGGACAAAGCGACGCGAUACCGCAAGGUGGAGCAAAUCGCAAAAAUCACGCCCCAGUUCGGAUUGUGGUCUGCAAUUCGACCACAUGAAGUUGGAAUCGCUAGUAAUCGCGUAUCAGCUAUGACGCGGUGAAUAAGUUCCUGAGCCUUGUACA